RNAcentral lists this transfer RNA (77 nucleotides) under Caudoviricetes sp. RNAcentral describes it as "tRNA-Met". It matches the Rfam family "tRNA". From Rfam's summary of the family: Transfer RNA (tRNA) molecules are approximately 80 nucleotides in length. Their secondary structure includes four short double-helical elements and three loops (D, anti-codon, and T loops). The record is from RNAcentral. Lineage: Duplodnaviria; Heunggongvirae; Uroviricota; Caudoviricetes.
GGGUCUUUAGCUCAGUUGGUUAGAGCCUCCAGCUCAUAACUGGAUGGCCCUGGGUUCAAGUCCCAGAAGGCCCACCA